UUUGCAGCGGUGAUGACAAAUUUGUGGACUAGAGUUUCUGACGCCGCCUCUUCAGCGGCAUCUGCAGACAACCCCUUGGCUGUCUGAGCUCCCAG
This is a non-coding RNA of Triticum aestivum (bread wheat), 95 nucleotides long. Lineage: Eukaryota; Viridiplantae; Streptophyta; Magnoliopsida; Poales; Poaceae. The record is from Rfam.